RNAcentral lists this ribosomal RNA (386 nucleotides) under uncultured bacterium. RNAcentral describes it as "bacterial SSU rRNA". It matches the Rfam family "Bacterial small subunit ribosomal RNA", at positions 29 to 417 of the family's 1533-position model. The record is from RNAcentral.
ACGAACGCUGGCGGCGUGCUUAACACAUGCAAGUCGAGCGGUAAGGCCCUUCGGGGUACGACGAGCGGCGAACGGGUGAGUAACACGUGGGUGACCUGCCUCUAGCUCUGGGAUAAGCCUGGGAAACUGGGUCUAAUACCGGAUAUGACUCCACGGCGCAUGUUGUGGGGUGGAAAGCCUUGUGUGGCUAGAGAUGGGCCCGCGGCCUAUCAGCUUGUUGGUGGGGUGAUGGCCUACCAAGGCGACGACGGGUAGCCGGCCUGAGAGGGCGACCGGCCACACUGGGACUGAGACACGGCCCAGACUCCUACGGGAGGCAGCAGUGGGGAAUCUUGCGCAAUGGGCGAAAGCCUGACGCAGCGACGCCGCGUGAGGGAUGACGGCCU